RNAcentral lists this ribosomal RNA (440 nucleotides) under uncultured bacterium. RNAcentral's name for it is "partial 16S ribosomal RNA". It matches the Rfam family "Bacterial small subunit ribosomal RNA", at positions 338 to 795 of the family's 1533-position model. The record is from RNAcentral.
CCUACGGGAGGCAGCAGUGGGGAAUAUUGCACAAUGGGGGGAACCCUGAUGCAGCGACGCCGCGUGAGUGAAGAAGUAUUUCGGUAUGUAAAGCUCUAUUAGCAGGGAAGAAAAUGACGGUACCUGACUAAGAAGCACCGGCUAACUACGUGCCAGCAGCCGCGGUAAUACGUAGGGGGCAAGCGUUAUCCGGAUUUACUGGGCGUAAAGGGAGCGUAGGCGGUUAUGCAAGUCAGAAGUGAAAGCCUAAGGCUCAACCAUGGGACUGCAUUUGAAACUGUAAAACUUGAGUGUAGGAGAGGUAGGCGGAAUUCCUAGUGUAGCGGUGAAAUGCGUAGAUAUUAGGAGGAACACCAGUUGCGAAGGCGGCUUACUGGACUGUAACUGACGUUGAGGCUCGAAGGCGUGGGGAGCAAACAGGAUUAGAUACCCGAGUAGUC